AGACGACGCCGGCGGCAUGCCUAAUACAUGCAAGUCGAACGAACUCUUCGGAUUAGUGGCGCACGGGGUGACGUAACGCGUGGGAAUCUGUCCCCUUGGUUCCGGAAUAACAGGUUGGAAACGACUGCUAAUACCGAUGAUGACGAAAGUCCAAA
Molecule: ribosomal RNA, 155 nt
Filed under: uncultured soil bacterium
Lineage: Bacteria
Description: partial 16S ribosomal RNA
Rfam family: Bacterial small subunit ribosomal RNA
Source: RNAcentral